Hyalella azteca is the source of this 419-nucleotide long non-coding RNA. RefSeq lists it as uncharacterized. The record is from RefSeq and is a predicted model, not a curated record. The transcript is spliced from 2 exons. NCBI's taxonomy places the organism in Eukaryota, Metazoa, Arthropoda, Malacostraca, Amphipoda, Hyalellidae.
CGUGUCCCGAGGAGGUUUGCUCCAGCAAGUGCACGGACUGCAAAGACUGCGACUGCCGCUCCAAGUGCGACAAAUGCAAGGAAAGCUGCGGGUGCGCAACCAAGGAGGCGUGCGCCGGCAACUGCACCUCUCCCUGCAGCUGCUGCCCUAAGUAACACCUACAGCUGUAACACCUGCAGCUGCUGCCCUAAGUAACCCCUGCAGCUGUAACACCUGCAGCUGCUGCCCUAAGUAACACCUGCAUCUGCUGCCCUAAGUAACCCCUGCUCCCAACGCUGCUUCUCGCCCGGACUGAGAGCGACGCAGUGUUGUCCGCGGUCCCGUACCGAAGCCUCGUUCCUUCCCAACCUUUUUGUUAAGUUAGCUUAAUGUGUUGCAUGUGAUACCUAAUUGAAAUAAAGUGUAUUUUCUAUUUAAAA